UACGUAGGGUGCGAGCGUUGUCCGGAAUUAUUGGGCGUAAAGAGCUCGUAGGCGGCUUGUCGCGUCGGAUGUGAAAGCCCGGGGCUUAACUCCGGGUCUGCAUUCGAUACGGGCAGGCUAGAGUUCGGUAGGGGAGAUCGGAAUUCCUGGUGUAGCGGUGAAAUGCGCAGAUAUCAGGAGGAACACCGGUGGCGAAGGCGGAUCUCUGGGCCGAUACUGACGCUGAGGAGCGAAAGCGUGGGGAGCGAACGGG
RNAcentral lists this ribosomal RNA (253 nucleotides) under uncultured bacterium. Its description in RNAcentral is "partial 16S ribosomal RNA". It matches the Rfam family "Bacterial small subunit ribosomal RNA", at positions 524 to 776 of the family's 1533-position model. The record is from RNAcentral.